RNAcentral lists this ribosomal RNA (52 nucleotides) under Pichia inconspicua. RNAcentral describes it as "[Candida] inconspicua partial 26S rRNA". Lineage: Eukaryota; Fungi; Ascomycota; Pichiomycetes; Pichiales; Pichiaceae. The record is from RNAcentral.
UCGACCUCAAAUCAGGUAGGAAUACCCGCUGAACUUAAGCAUAUCAAUAAGC